GUGCUUGCUUUGGCAGCACGUGUACUAAAACUGGAAAGAUACAGAGAAGAUUAACGUGGCCCCUGCAUUAGGAUGACACGCAAAUUCAUGAAGCAUUCCAUUAUUAA
Molecule: small nuclear RNA, 107 nt
Organism: Zalophus californianus (California sea lion)
Lineage: Eukaryota; Metazoa; Chordata; Mammalia; Carnivora; Otariidae
Source: Ensembl